Molecule: non-coding RNA, 221 nt
Filed under: Triticum aestivum (bread wheat)
Lineage: Eukaryota; Viridiplantae; Streptophyta; Magnoliopsida; Poales; Poaceae
Description: Bacterial large subunit ribosomal RNA
Rfam family: Bacterial large subunit ribosomal RNA
Source: Rfam by way of RNAcentral
GGGGGAGUGUCCUCUGGCAAGCACGCCAUGUCGGCUCUGCUUAGCGGAAACACGAUGUAUAGAGUCUGACACCUACCCAGUGCUGGAAGGUCGAAAGGAGAAGUGUGACAAGAUUUGAAUGGAAGCUCAUGUAAACGCGACAGUAACUCUAACUAUCCUAAGGUAGUGAAACUCCUUAUUGCACAAGUAGCGACCUGCACGAAUGGUGUAACGACUACCCC